CGAUGACUCAGUAGGAUGUGAGAGCAGCAGCUCGGGGCUGCAGCCUCCCCGCUGCCCGGCCGCCGGGUGCAGUUCCGCCAAGCCGUUGCUUCGGGGGGGGCUGCUCACCCAGUCCCCCUCCACGGUUUGCCACUGCCUGUUUCAUCUGCAUACCAUGGCCCUCGGUCUUCUCAGCUGGGCUGAGACACGCGUGUUUGGGAGAUGCGCUACAGACCAGAUCUCUCAAAGCAAGGUGGGUUAAAGCUAGCACUGGGAGUUGGGAUCCACCUGGAUCACUGCGGACAUCUGGCUUGCAGAGCAGUCCCACAAACACUUACAGCAGCACGACUGCAGGGAUGGCAAAUCACAGCGGGGAGGGAUAGCAGGAGCUUGGAGAGACCACCUUCAGCCAGCGUUGCCACCACCGAGAAAGCGCCAUGUAUCCAGCCCCAGCCAUGUGUGUCUCCGCAGACCCAGGAUACACUUUUAGGGGGCCACGGUGUACAUCCCCCCAAACCCAGUUACUACAGCUAACAGCUGCUUCUUAGGUCAGCCCACCCAGGCUUUCAGACAUUGCCUCAACUGCUGGGCAGGUGUGCUCAGUGGGCACACCCUCUGCCAUGCAGACGAUGGGAGAAACCAGAGCACAACCCCACUUCUCUCCUGGAAACCGAAGGAAACCAACACCUAAGGAGACAUUUUAGACCUCUGCUGUGUCCUGCAACCAGGACACGCUUUGGGGUUCACAGCUGCAGGACUCUGAAGUGGUACCUAGCGAUUCACAAUAAAUAUGCAUCGCACCAAGGGAUCCAGAAAAAUUAUGUGCUUCUGCGGGCAGGCUCACUCUGAAAUUGUAAGUAAAAAGAAAUCCUUCCCAAGCCUAGUUUUGCACGCAGCAGACCAUGGGGGGUCAGCAGGGUUGGAUUUGGCUGAGGAACACGUGCUGCAGCCGUCAAUGACCACGAGGCCCGAAGUCCCCUGAGCCUUGCUCUUCAAGCUACGAGUAAUCUUGAGCAAACCGCAUCAGCCUCCCAGUAGUCCAGCAAAAUGCUGUACCUAUCAGAACCACAUAGUGUAAUUACUGAGUGGUUGAAAACCACUUUCAGAUUGGUAGAAGAGAUGCCUUGUUACUACGGAGUUAUGUUAAGCAGUAACAACACAAAUCAAUAAAAAUAACCAAAUAAUUAACCAUCGUCAGAUACUUAACACCCAUUGCAACUGCCAUUAGCAAGAGGUUUUGAGGGCUGUUCACAAAUCUCUUUAGCAUAUUAUAAAUUCCCCAUAGAGCGCUCAGAUGUCCCGGCUAUGGGGAUGCAUGCUGCAUACACCGCAAUCCUGUCCCUGUGCUAUCAACAGUAAUGGUUUCACAUCUAAAAAUCGCGUCCUGGGAAUAUGGUUGAGCACACAGCACGCUAGAGAGGCAUUAGCAAGAAAAGAGACAUGUGGACGGCCAGAGCACGCAGGAGACUAGACCGUGACUCACUGCAUAACCCGGAGGAACUCAUUUACCUUCUUGUCUUUGGUGCAACCCUCUGUGAGAAAUGUGUAUCAAAUUUUAAUUACUUCAUGGACUGUUAUGUAGUCUGAUUAAUGAUAUUAGAGAGCACUUGGAGAUCUCUGGAUAAAGGCUGGUGUUUUUUGUAAGUCUAUUAUUACUACUUUCAUAGCUUUCACUUCUUGUCUUGGGUCCCUGAGUUUAAAGCAGUUCUUUCUAAUGCUCUGCACGCAUUUUGUGAAACUCUGGCUGCUAGUGUCAAAUGCCAGCAUAUUCACAGGGCAUAAACCAUCUGGUUUUGCUGAAACUAAAUAUUCCUGUGUUUACUUAGGAAAAUGGAUGCAGACAUUUUCAGUUCUCGCAGCUGUUCCUUCCUGGGAAACAGGAGGAGAACAACAUUUUUCUCUCCAAAGCAGAGGAAUAGUAAGCUUGAUUGACAUUCCCCAAACUGCAGAUCCUGCAGGCCCAAAUUAUUUGCCUUGUUUUGCUUCAGAAGUCCUUCCCCCUUCCUCGCUUGGGGAAUAACGCCACAGCAGGUGUUGUGUAUUUCUGAUAGUUUGUGGGCAGUAGGACAGGCUGCCAGGGGAACUGAGAUUGUGUCAUAUGCUAAUAAAUAUAAUUAAAAAAAAAAAAAAAGCUCCUUACACUUUUAAAUAGUUCUGACUCCGAAAGAUGAAGUAAUCUGUGAUAGGUACUGCCGGGUACACCUCACCUUGUCCUUGCUUUGCAUGCGGCUCCCGGGAGGCUCUCCCUCAUGCCUUCAAGGCAAUGCUUAUCUUGCCCAGGCUCUAAAACCCAGCCUGGAGCUAUCAGGAUAGGGCAGGGGUAGCUGCUCUUUUCAAAAUAAGACUUUCAAGUCACAUGUACUGGAUUGAAAUUUCUGUUUGGUUUUUUUUAAAACUGUUUCUUGACAUCAACAAUCUGUUUUCUUGUUUUAAUUCCAGAGAAAAUAAGGGAACAUCUAGACCUGCCCUGCCUUUGAAGUAUGCAUAAAACGCAAUGAGGGCAUAACUAUAUUCACAGGAAUCGAGGUUCUGUCUCUUCACUCCCUGGAAAGGCUCACGUAUGUUAUUAUUCCCACUUUAUAAAUGUGGGAAUUAAAACUGAGAGCUCACCAAAGUUGCCCAGGUAAUGACGAGCAAAUGUAUGACAAGAAUCUGGGGAGGCUGAGGCCAACUUACCUAUUAGCUCUUUGAAGUGGAAAGAAUAAGUGUAAAACAUAUGUAGAAUAUUUACGGUGUUACUUUAAUAACAGCCUGCCUCUUUGGUUGGCUUAAUAUUUAACUAUUUCUACAAACUGUAACAGUUACAUCAAGAGAGAUGGAUCAGCUCUAUUACCACACAGAUCCAGACUCAAGGUCCCGCCCCAUUUAAUUAUUUAUACAAAGUGUUGCGGUUCCAAAUAGUGAUACCAAAAGACCCGCCUUGGAUGCUGUAGUUCAGAGAAGAGUUUUUCACAUCCUAGGUAUGUGCCUCUCAACCGAAAUCACUGGCUAUUUUUGCACUGUCCUCCCUCUUCUCUAAUUUCUCAGGAAAGUUGAGAAAGCCUUGGUUUUACCUCAGUGUAGAAAGUAUUGGGGUUUGGUUGGUGGGUUUUUUUUUCCUUUUUUUAGAUCUUAAAAGGAUGUAAUGAAACCUACUCUUUACCUAUCUUUAGUGCAAAUACUGAGAAACGAAAAAGGGUCAUAAAGGGCUAUGGAGUGAGAUCUGGUUGGUUUUCUGCACCUGUCUCUGAAUCUAAACUUUUGGGACAAAACAGUGAUAAUUUUUCUGCAGUCUUUGUAUAUUUUGAGAUUACCUCAAUACAGUUUCUUGCCAUUUCUGACUAAAGAAACAGGACCUGUGAAUAUGUUGUAAACAAACUAUUCUAAGAAAAUACAUUGCUGAUUUGGAUCACUACUUUCUGUUUCAAGUCCAAAACUGAAGGCGGCCACUGAGAAGGCAGCGGUGCUUCAGCUAUCGCCGCCCAGGGAGAAUAUGCUCCUAAUUACAUGCUGGACACCUCACCACACGGCUCCUCCCGGCUUCUUCCUCCCAUCUAUGUAACAGCUGCAGUCAGCUCUGAGUUACAGUCAGCAAAGGUGAUAGAGUACAUUAGAAACCAGCUAUAAAGAUAGGAUAACGCUGUAAUACACUGCCAUGGGCUGUCUAGCCGGUAACUGGCGACAGACCUAGGUGGGCAAUGUAGCUGGAGCCAUGGUUUUUGAAAGCAGCAGUUACAAUGGUGUAGUAAAUAACUUCAAAGUGCACUAACCUUAAAGUGGAGCGAGUAACAGAAGUACUAGCUGAACCAACGUAAGGUUACUAGGAAAGAGUGGGUAACGUCAGAGAGGACGAGACAGUGCGCUGCAGCUGGGGAUGCAGUGGUCUCAAAUUUGCAGCAGCAGCAUUAAGUGAGAACCCAUGUCUAGAGAGCCACAGUUUAGGGAAUGACACUUACUAACGUGUAAUUUUUUGCCAACUUCUUUGGAAAUGUCUGUCCUUCAAAUCUUCAGAACUCAGCAUAAGAGCAGUGCAAAUUAAAGGACACCUUGUGACAGCAUGCGGAUAAGGAGAGGUAAGUUGACACACAGGGUAUUUAGGGUAAGUAACACUGAAACCAAGUAGGGGAAAGUUAGAAGCAAAGCCAUGUUAGUGGACGUAAGAGGAGAUGUCAAAAUAACUGAAAGGAAGUUUAGAAAUUUGAACGUUAUUAAUGAGAAUUUGCCACAGGCAUCAGCAACAUUCAGCUCCUCCUCCUGCUUAAAUCACCAGUUAGGUAUCUUUGGCCUGUACCUGUGUAUGCUAUAAUACCAAAAAUUACUGAACAUCUCCCCCUUGGUCAAAGAAAUACAUUCAGUCCACAUGAACUAUUUCUUUCUGAAUCACAGAAGACAACGGGCCUCAUUCCCUGAUCUUUUCAUUCUAUUUGCUGCACUGGGAUUACGUCAAAGUGAACCACAGGACCCGUCGAGUUUUACCCACUGAGGGAGAAACUCAUGUACUUCUUUCCCUGCUCAAGCUAUGAAGCAAAGUGGUGGGUGGGGGCAAACUUUACAGGGUUAUGCAGCGCAGUGAGGUGACCAUCCUCCCAUUUGAGAACCCACAUACAGCUGGGGAGUGACUCUCUUACCCAGCUAUGCUCCCACCGCAUGGGCCGAUGGAGGAGGAGGUGGUGUGCGAGCUGGAUGCAGCCAUGACGGGAACCGAGAGGCGUCGUACUUCUGAUGUCGAGGGUAGCACCAGCGGGCUUUCCUCAUCGUACGACCCAGCUCUCCAUCGGUCCCUCAAGAAAACUGAGAAAACAGAGGAGGAGUGAAAUGGAGGAGAAAAACCAAGCUUCGUGUAUUUACCAGAGAUCCUCAAUAAUGCAAUGGCAUGACUUAUACAGGUCGAUGUGGGUACCAAUGUGAUGCGGUAAAAUAAAGUCAGGCACCAGCCAGCGUCUGCAAAGAAAGAAGUGAGGUAUUUUUUGCAGCUCAUUCUGUUCCACAGCAUCUCCAAUUAUUAUUUUGUUAUUAUGAUAUGCUGCUGAUUUGUUUCUCGAACAUGCUGACAUGCCUAGUAAAAACAGUUGUUAUGGAACUAUGUUUUGCUCAGUGUAUCUGAAAGUUGAGUAUCUUCUGGAGUUUUGGAAGACAAAUUAAUUGUAUCUUUAUGCCCCAGUGAAAGAUAAUUUCAUAUCCCCAUUUUGUCAUCAGUGCAGAAUGUUCUGUGAUAAUAUAAUAUAAAAUAAUAUGUCUGAACCUGAUGUUGCGAUGGCUUAAAAUAACCUUCAGGGCAGUUCAGUUGUGUGAAAUGAAACUGGGACAAUUCCUAAAAACUCAAGAGGGACUGUGGAUCUAUUAGUUUUGGCAGCAAUAAAGUAGUUGGGAUAAGGAAGAUCCUUUUAAGAGCUGCGUAAUUGUUUUUCCUAGUUUGACAAAAAAUGGAAGAAAAAUAUUUUAAGUUUUUUUUUUUUUUUAGAUUCUCACUACUAGCAGAAUUUGAAAAAUAAGAAAGGAUAGCUGCAUAUGCUUUCAGCAGAUGAGUUGGAAUUACAUUUCCAUAUACGCUGCCUACAAAUGGAGAUAUAGAAAAUCAGUUUUCUUUUCUGGAGUUUAUUCCUCUUCCUUCAGCCUAUCAAGUGAAACUUUAUUAUCAUUGCAUAGGUGUUUCAAGAGUGUUCUUUUACCUGACUGUCUGGACACCUAGCAUCAUCUGAUGCCUAAUCAUUGCCCCGCCCUGUUC
This is a long non-coding RNA of Egretta garzetta (little egret), 5683 nucleotides long. RefSeq lists it as uncharacterized. The record is from RefSeq and is a predicted model, not a curated record. The transcript is spliced from 3 exons. NCBI's taxonomy places the organism in Eukaryota, Metazoa, Chordata, Aves, Pelecaniformes, Ardeidae.